RNAcentral lists this long non-coding RNA (229 nucleotides) under Elaeis guineensis (African oil palm). RNAcentral describes it as "long non-coding RNA (EGUI_LNC016195)". The record is from RNAcentral. Lineage: Eukaryota; Viridiplantae; Streptophyta; Magnoliopsida; Arecales; Arecaceae.
GAUGUGAGGUGGGAGGUUUGGAGUAGUCGAAUAGAGGAGUUUAUAAAGACUACGGUUUGUGUUGGAUCUUUAUAUAUAAGAGUUUAAAUGGUAUUUGUAUAUAUAUUGCAUCAAAUUCGAAAUGCAACAUAUUAUUAUUUAUAUACAAUCUAAAUCUACUUCAAAUUUUUUUUCUCAAAUCUAUAUCUAUUUUAAAUUUUAAUUAAAUUAAAUAAAAUCUAUCCUAUUC